AGCAGCCGCGGUAAUUCCAGCUCCAAUAGCGUAUAUUAAAGUUGUUGCAGUUAAAAAGCUCGUAGUUGAAUUUCGGGGUCAAUAAGUUGGUCAUGCCAAUGGUAUGUACUGGCUUUAUUGAUUCCUACCUCUUGACGAACUGUGAUGCCAUUAAUUUGGUGUUGCAAGGAAUCAGGACUGUUACCUUGAAAAAAUUAGAGUGUUUAAAGCAAGCUUACGCUUGAAUACAUUAGCAUGGAAUAAUGAAAUAGGACGUUUGAUCCUAUUUUGUUGGUUUCUAGGAUCGACGUAAUGAUUAAUAGGGAUAGUUGGGGGCAUUAGUAUUCAAUUGUCAGAGGUGAAAUUCUUGGAUUUAUUGAAGACUAACUACUGCGAAAGCAUUUGCCAAGGAUGUUUUCAUUAAUCAAGAACGAAAGUUAGGGGAUCGAAGACGAUCAGAUACCGUCGUAGUCUUAACCAUAAACUAUGCCGACUAGGGAUCGGAUGAUGUUAAUUUUUUAAUGACUCA
Molecule: ribosomal RNA, 508 nt
Filed under: Glomus sp. MO-G14
Lineage: Eukaryota; Fungi; Glomeromycota; Glomeromycetes; Glomerales; Glomeraceae
Description: SSU rRNA
Rfam family: Eukaryotic small subunit ribosomal RNA
Source: RNAcentral